CCUGGUGUUGUUAGCGCCGUGGCACCACUCCGAAUCCAUCCCGAACUCGGUUGUGAAACGCGGCAGCGGCGAAGAUAGUUGGAGGGUUGCCUCCUGCCAAAAUAGCUCAGUGCCAGGA
This 118-nucleotide ribosomal RNA is filed under the name Coleofasciculus sp. LEGE 07081. The record is from RNAcentral. RNAcentral also lists the same sequence under 1 other name. Lineage: Bacteria; Bacillati; Cyanobacteriota; Cyanophyceae; Coleofasciculales; Coleofasciculaceae.